ACUGCGAGUGAAGAGGGAAAAGCUCAAAUUUAAAAUCUGGCAGCUUUGCUGUCCGAGUUGUAAUUUAGAGAAGUGUUACCCGCGCUGGACCGUGUAUAAGUCUCCUGGAAUGGAGCGUCGUAGAGGGUGAGAAUCCCGUCUUUGACACGGACUACCAGGGCAUUGUGGUGCGCUCUCGAAGAGUCGCGUUGUUUGGGAAUGCAGCGCUAAAUGGGUGGUAAAUUCCAUCUAAAGCUAAAUAUUGGCGAGAGACCGAUAGCGAACAAGUACCGUGAGGGAAAGAUGAAAAGAACUUUGGAAAGAGAGUUAAACAGUACGUGAAAUUGCUGAAAGGGAAACGCUUGAAGUCAGUCGCGUUGACCGGGGAUCAGCCUUGCUUCUGUGAGGUGUACUUCCUGGUUGACGGGUCAGCAUCAGUUUCGAUCAUUGGAAAAAGGCUUGGGGAAUGUGGCACCUCCGGGUGUGUUAUAGCCCCUUGUCCGUAUACAGUGGUUGGGACUGAGGAACUCAGCACGCCGCAAGGCCGGGUUUCGACCACGUUCGUGCUUAGGAUGCUGGCAAAAUGGCUUUAAGCGACCCGUCUUGAAACACGGACCAAGGAGUCUAACAUGCUUGCGAGUGUUUGGGUGGAAAACCCGAGCGCGUAAUGAAAGUGAAAGUUGGGAUCUCUGUCGUGGAGAGCACCGACGCCCGGACCUGAUGUUUACUGACGGAUCUGCGGUAGAGCACGUAUGUUGGGACCCGAAAGAUGGUGAACUAUGCCUGAAUAGGGCGAAGCCAGAGGAAACUCUGGUGGAGGCUCGUAGCGAUUCUGACGUGCAAAUCGAUCGUCGAAUUUGGGUAUAGGGCGAAAGACUAAUCGA
RNAcentral lists this ribosomal RNA (863 nucleotides) under Marasmius rhabarbarinoides. RNAcentral's name for it is "Marasmius sp. JJSO-2015b partial large subunit ribosomal RNA". It matches the Rfam family "Eukaryotic large subunit ribosomal RNA", at positions 86 to 938 of the family's 3401-position model. The record is from RNAcentral. Lineage: Eukaryota; Fungi; Basidiomycota; Agaricomycetes; Agaricales; Marasmiaceae.